This 438-nucleotide long non-coding RNA is filed under the name Nicotiana benthamiana. Its description in RNAcentral is "long non-coding RNA (NBEN_LNC036783)". Lineage: Eukaryota; Viridiplantae; Streptophyta; Magnoliopsida; Solanales; Solanaceae. The record is from RNAcentral.
UGGAGGUGAAGAAGGCGGCAUUUGCUAAGUUGGCAAGGAGCACAAGCGAGGAAGAACGGAGAGCUAACAGGGAGAUCUACAAGGUGGUGACGCAAGUUGGCAGGGAGCACAAGCGAGGAAGAAAGGAGAGUGAAUAGGGAGAUCUACAAGGUCGAGGAAGGAAGCGAAGCUGGCGGUUACGGAAGCUAAAAACGCAGUGUUUGGUCGCAUGUACGAGGAAUUAGGGGAGAAAGGCGGGGACAAGAAGUUAUUCCGGUUAGCUAAAGUAAGGGAAAGGAAAGUGCAGGAUCUAGACCAAGUUCGGUGCAUCAAGGACAAGGAUGGUAGAGUUCUGAUGGGGGAGUCUCAAGUCAAGCAGAGAUGGCAGGCGUACUUUCGAGACCUACUUAACGAGGAGGGGGAUCGAAACAUAGAGCUAGGGGAGCUGGGGCAUUCAGA